RNAcentral lists this ribosomal RNA (374 nucleotides) under Nematoda sp. Its description in RNAcentral is "bacterial SSU rRNA". It matches the Rfam family "Eukaryotic small subunit ribosomal RNA", at positions 252 to 625 of the family's 1831-position model. The record is from RNAcentral. Lineage: Eukaryota; Metazoa; Nematoda.
CUGAAUAACUUUGCUGAUCACACAGUCCUAGCACUGGUGACAUAUCUUUCAAGUGUCUGCCCUAUCAACUUUCGAUGGUAGUUUAUGUGCCUACCAUGGUGGUAACGGGUAACGGAAAAUAAGGGUUCGACUCCGGAGAGGGAGCCUGAGAAAUGGCUACCACAUCCAAGGAAGGAAGCAGGCGCGCAAAUUACCCACUCUCAGCUUGAGGAGGAAGUGAAAAAAAAUAACGGGACAGCUCUCUAUCAUGUAUGUCAUUGGAAUGGGUACAAUUUAUACCCUUUAACGAAGAUCUAUUGGAGGGCAUGUCUGGUGCCCCCCGCCGCUGUAAUUCCAGCUCCAAUAUCAUAUACCAAUUCUGUUGCUGUUAAACA